AGCAGUCGCCGCGGUAAUACGUAGGUGGCAAGCGUUGUCCGGAAUUAUUGGGCGUAAAGGGCUCGCAGGCGGUUUCUUAAGUCGGAUGUGAAAGCCCCCGGCUCAACCGGGGAGGGUCAUUGGAAACUGGGAAACUUGAGUGCAGAAGAGGAGAGUGGAAUUCCACGUGUAGCGGUGAAAUGCGUAGAGAUGUGGAGGAACACCAGUGGCGAAGGCGACUCUCUGGUCUGUAACUGACGCUGAGGAGCGAAAGCGUGGGGAGCGAACAGGAUUAGAUACCCGUGUAGUCCCUGUCUCUUAUAC
Molecule: ribosomal RNA, 303 nt
Filed under: uncultured bacterium
Lineage: Bacteria
Description: partial 16S ribosomal RNA
Rfam family: Bacterial small subunit ribosomal RNA
Source: RNAcentral